CGGGUGAGUAACACGUGGGUAACCUGCCCAAGAGAUCGGGAUAACACCUGGAAACAGAUGCUAAUACCGGAUAACAACAGAUGAUGCCUAUCAACUGUUUAAAAGAUGGUUCUGCUAUCACUCUUGGAUGGACCUGCGGUGCAUUAGCUAGUUGGUAGGGUAACGGCCCACCAAGGCGACGAUCAGUAGGGGUUCUGAGAGGAAGGUCCCCCACAUUGGAACUGAGACACGGUCCAAACUCCUACGGGAGGCAGCAGCA
Molecule: ribosomal RNA, 259 nt
Filed under: uncultured Lactobacillus sp.
Lineage: Bacteria; Bacillati; Bacillota; Bacilli; Lactobacillales; Lactobacillaceae
Description: partial 16S ribosomal RNA
Rfam family: Bacterial small subunit ribosomal RNA
Source: RNAcentral